Molecule: ribosomal RNA, 460 nt
Filed under: uncultured bacterium
Lineage: Bacteria
Description: partial 16S ribosomal RNA
Rfam family: Bacterial small subunit ribosomal RNA
Source: RNAcentral
CCUACGUGAGGCAGCAGUGAGGAAUAUUGGUCAAUGGGCGCAAGCCUGAACCAGCCAAGUCGCGUGAGGGAAGACGGCCCUACGGGUUGUAAACCUCUUUUGCCGGGGAGCAAGCCUGAGCACGUGUGCCCAGGCGGAGAGUACCCGGAGAAAAAGCAUCGGCUAACUCCGUGCCAGCAGCCGCGGUAAUACGGAGGAUGCGAGCGUUAUCCGGAUUUAUUGGGUUGAAAGGGUGCGCAGGCGGGCUGUUAAGCCGGCGGUAAAAAUUCAGGGCUCAACCCUGUCGAGCCGUCGGAACUGGCAGUCUUGAGUGGGCGAGAAGUAUGCGGAAUGCGUGGUGUAGCGGUGAAAUGCAUAGAUAUCACGCAGAACGCCGAUUGCGAAGGCAGCAUGCCGGCUCCACACUGACGCUGAGGCACGAAAGCGUGGGUAUCGAACAGGAUUAGAUACCCUGGUAGUC